AGAGGGGUGGAUGCUCAGUCAUGCCCAUGCUGCCAGCCAGCCAGGCCGGCCGGGGAGCUCCCACUUUCUCUCUCUAGGACCCUGGCGCCAACACUGCAAACAGAUAGAUGAGAGACAGACUCUGCUGGUAUAUUGAACUGCAACCCUGGGAGCUAAAUUCUAGAGUGCUUUGAUGAACUCCAGACUGCUGAAUAACAGUAUCAUGAAUGGUUCCUGUGCCCCAAGCAUAGCUGAAGCAAAUGGAUUCACAAAUCAAGGCAGUUUGGGGCAGACGACUUUGGAUUGCAGCAUAUUGUCAAAUAGAAGAUGAGUUUUAAAGGUGACCGCCAAAAGAAAAUCAAAGAUGCUUGUGUGAUUUUUGACUUCAUCAUGGUAUAUGAAAGGUUAGAAAGGUUUUGUUCCCAAAAAUGUUUUUUAUUCUCCUUUAUUUUAGCUUUAGAAAUAUAAAGAAUGUCAUGUUGUCCUUCCUAGUUUUGCUGGACAACUAGAGAACAGGAGUAGGAGUUUUCUCAGCUCAUGAGUGAAGAAGGGAAGGGUAUUGAGACUUCCACAAAGAAAUAUUUUCUACUACCUGUUUGUCAAGAAUUUUCCUAAUGUAUUAAAGUGACAUUACCAAAAUUAAAAACAAGGACAAAAAUUUCUGCUCAGCACAGCAAAAGAGAGAAAAGGUACUAGGGAGCCUGUUGUGGAUCUGUCUCAGCCCCAGAGUAGGUAAGAGUUGUCAAGAGUGCCCAAAGGACUAUUCCAAGAAGGGAUAGCAGUAGCGCAGUGCGCUCCAGCCUCACCCUAUCCUGACAGCUUCCUACCUCUUAUGCUUGGGUAGAGAGGGUCGACAACUGCUCAGGAACUGGAUGUGCCAGGCAAGCACCAGCUGAGAGCUACCCUAUGCUGGGGGUAUUCUCACCAGGCCAGAUCCAUUUGCUUUUUUUUCUUCAGGGCAGCACAAAGGGGCCAGAAUUCAUCAGAGAAUCUACCCCAAGAAGUUUUAAAUGGUCUGACUACAAAUUCCUUGACCCUCUAAAUUGUUCGGGUUUCACUCUUUGUACAUGUGAUAUUACAAUCUUACUAGGAGUCCAAUGGUUCAUAGUGUCUUCCAGGAAAAACAGGGUAGGCAAGACCUGAAAUGCAAAUAUAAAAAGCUAUACAGAAAGGAAAAACAUACAGCCUACUCCACUCCCCCAAAAAAUCAACCCUCUACUUUUCAAGCUUUCUUUACCCAACAUAUAGAAGCAAUAAAUAAAUGGCACACACUUUUAUCCUCUCUCGGUUACCUUUAAAGUGUACCUAUUAAAAAAAAAAUUCUUAUUUUAAUAUCUUCCUGCAGAGAUGCUAUCUAACCCCAAGGGCCUCCUUUACAUAACACAUUAGUUUUCUUUAUGGCCUAUGUGGAAAACAGUGUUAGUAAAACUGACAUUUAUAAUCUGAUACUUAAAUAUGCCACACACCUCAUUAACUCUUUAUCAACUUGCAGCCAAAUGUUCAAAACACGAAAACAAGAAUGAAAUUUCAUGUCAUAGGUAACAUCUUUUAAUAGUACCCACAUCCUAAUCUCAUGGUCAAAUCCCCAAUUGAUUUCCUAAAUAAAAAGCAGAAGUACAAGUGAACAGUGUAGCAGGAUUUGAGCAGACCUUAGGGAGGUGACCUGAAUUGUAUGGAAGAGCAUGAUGAAAUGCUUCUUUUUAACCAUGAAAGAAACUUUAGUAUAUUGGCAGGUAGAAUCUACUUGGGAACAUCAAGAAAUAUUUGGAGGUGUUUCAAUAUACUUAUUGUGAUGUGCUCCAAUAGUGCGCCAUCACAGAAAAGCCUAAAAACAAAUUAUUUUGACAUGAUCUUUUAAAAGGUCUUUGCUACAAACAAGAAGGCAUUUUGGAAGAUAACUUUUGUGUCCAAGCAGGCAUUACCAAAACUUUUGCACAUAGAAUGUAAUGUUCUCAGUUUUAAGUGACUACUGCUGUUGGGUUUGAUCAGCUUAAGUUUACAACAGCACUGUGUACACAUUUGUAUCAUGAGAAUAUAUUGCAUUACACUCUGUAAUAUACUGUUGAAAGAUACUACUAUCCUUGUACUGCAUUAUUUGUGCAUCUUGCAAGCAUGAGAUGAAAGACAGUGAUUCAAAACCGACUUUCACUUUUUCACAAAAAUAUACCACUAUGGUAUAAUAAAUGUCUCUGAAAGGAGUGACACAUAAGACAUAAAUGUUCUAUAUUCGUAUGUCUCUCAAAAUCCAAUAAGCCAAUUAAAAUCAUUAUAGUUUGGGGAGUAAUUGGAUCCAAACAAGUGCAGCAACAAAGUGAACCAAGUUAAUACAGUGAGAAGGACUCUGUUUACAAGCAACAUCAAGCUCCAAUUAAUUUUUUAGGUUCAGUCUCCAAUAACCUACAACUACAACUUUUCAAGUGACAAGUCUCUGAACACUGAAUCCAGAAUUUUCUAGGUCUUAAAGACACAGUAAUCUAAGUCACUACUGUCCUUAUACUACAGUAAGUAUUGUAUUGGCACACUCCUAAGGAUCUGUGUCUAUAACUUUGUUCCUUUUCUCCCAGGCCAAGUCUGUUCUUAAGGAUUCAGGUCCAUAUAUGAUUCUCAAAUACCUAGCUGCAUUCCAAAACAAGGGGUUUCUAAUCUCCCAUUCCUUCUCAUCCUAUAGAGGCAUUACACAAAACAUUCAGCUUAUUUUUGAAUAGCAGAAGUGAGAAAAAGUCCAUUUGUUAUUGAGGCCAGGUUUACACUCAAAAGUUAAAUUGACCAGCUAUGUUGCCUAGGGGUGUGAAAAAUCCACACCCAUGAGCAAUGUAGUUAAGAUGACCCAACCCUCAGUGUAGAUGGCACUAGGUUAACAGAAGAACCCUUGUGUCAGUCAAGGUACUGCACCUCGGGGAGGUGAAUUAACUAGGGCAAUGGGAGAACUCCUCCCAUUGCUGUAAUGAGUGGCAAUGCUGAGGUGCUACAGCUGUGCCGCUGUAGCAUUUUAAGUGUAGACAUAGCCCUACUUAGAUUUGAAAAAAUAGAGAGGGAUGCACAGGAGGGAGAAUGAAUGAAAAGCAGCACCCCAAAAGGCCUCCCCCUGGAAACUAGUUGCUAACAGAAUAAGAAAAUCCAGAGUAGCAGAGACAAAUGUGUUGUGAUGUUUCCUUUUAAGCUAAGGCAAAUAUGUUUAUGCCAGAAAAUCAUCUGUGAUUGAAGUGUGGUUGCAGAUAAGUGCCAAAGGGAUGGUUUCAGUCUCUUGGAAACACUCAUGACCACACAAUGGGUUGUGUGUGCUGGAUGCUGUCAAGGCCUGCGAUCAUACAACACACACAAGUAUACUAGAAUCCAGUAAGUUCCCUCUCAGGCUGAUCCACUUCACUAGUCAGUCACUCAUAAGAGUAUCCGUUUUCUCCCCUCUGCUAAAUGGAAUGAGUGGAGCAGAGCUCUGGGCUAUCAGCAAACAACAAGGCUUACUGACAGCAUUGCUGUGCUAGGCCCUGCCUUCAUACUUUUCCUUUCUAUAGCACCUGUCAUUUGAGGGAUAAAGUAGUAGUAUUUUAAUCACUAAGAGUGAAAUUCACCCCAGUGCAGAGGGUCCAGUUUCAUCCUAAGGUAAAAGAGAGGUUAAGGAUCAGAUUGUUAAAGGUGUUUAGGCACCUAAAGAUGCAGAUAGGUGCCUGGUGGGAUUUUCAAGAGUGAUUUCUGUGGGAGCGAGGUGCCAAGAUGCUUUUGAAAAUUUCACUGGGCACCUCUCUACAUAGGAGCAUAUCUUUAAAUACAGAAAUGUAUAAAAUGAGUGACUGCGUUGGAGAGAUUUAUACAACCUGCUGUGUAAUGUGUUCCAAAUCUUUUACCAUGCAAAUGUAAGAUGAGGCCUGUGGUGGUGUAAAGGUUGUAACUUACUGUUAUUAUCUCAUAUUGACAUGCAGUAUUUUAUAAGAGGCACCAUUUGCAUGUAAAAAACCAACUUGUUCUUUUAUCCAGAAAGAUUUGAAGCUAUUUUUUUAAAAAAUUAUUUUGAGAAACACUGAGCAAAUGUAUUUGGUACUUUUGCUGGUAAAACUCCAGUGACUGAUUGAUUUGGGGGGUUUAAAAUUAAUGUGAGAUACCAUACUAAACUAGAAUUUCAACAGCAUAACUGCAAAGAAGCUGCAUGGGAAGUGCCAAGACCUAAUAAGAGCCAUUUCAUCACCUCUGCAUAGUUUCCUUCCUUUCUUAUAUGAACUAUUAUAUUAAAACUUUAUUUUUUAAACAUG
Long non-coding RNA from Chelonia mydas (Green sea turtle), 4223 nucleotides. RefSeq lists it as uncharacterized. The record is from RefSeq and is a predicted model, not a curated record. Lineage: Eukaryota; Metazoa; Chordata; Testudines; Cheloniidae. The transcript has 2 exons.